Molecule: ribosomal RNA, 467 nt
Filed under: uncultured bacterium
Lineage: Bacteria
Description: partial 16S ribosomal RNA
Rfam family: Bacterial small subunit ribosomal RNA
Source: RNAcentral
GACGAACGCUGGCGGCGUGCUUAACACAUGCAAGUCGAACGGAAAGGCCCUGCUUUUGUGGGGUGCUCGAGUGGCGAACGGGUGAGUAACACGUGAGUAACCUGCCCUUGACUUUGGGAUAACUUCAGGAAACUGGGGCUAAUACCGGAUAGGAGCUCCUGCUGCAUGGUGGGGGUUGGAAAGUUUCGGCGGUUGGGGAUGGACUCGCGGCUUAUCAGCUUGUUGGUGGGGUAGUGGCUUACCAAGGCUUUGACGGGUAGCCGGCCUGAGAGGGUGACCGGCCAAAUGGGGAAGGAGAUACGGCCCAGACCCCUAGGGGAGGGAGCAGGGGGGAAAAUUGCAAAAGGGGGGGAAGCCUGAUGGGGAAACGCCGGGGGGGGGAUGACGGCCUUGGGGUUGAAAACCGCUUUCGCCUGGGACGAAGGGGGGGUGAGGGUAAUGGGGAAAGAAGCACCGGCAAACUACGU